RNAcentral lists this ribosomal RNA (253 nucleotides) under uncultured bacterium. RNAcentral describes it as "partial 16S ribosomal RNA". It matches the Rfam family "Bacterial small subunit ribosomal RNA", at positions 524 to 776 of the family's 1533-position model. The record is from RNAcentral.
UACGUAGGGGGCAAGCGUUGUCCGGAAUCAUUGGGCGUAAAGCGCGUGUAGGCGGCCCGAUAAGUCCGCUGUGAAAGUCCAGGGCUCAACCCUGGAAUGCCGGUGGAUACUGUCGGGCUAGAGUCCGGAAGAGGCGAGUGGAAUUCCUGGUGUAGCGGUGGAAUGCGCAGAUAUCAGGAGGAACACCAAUAGCGAAGGCAGCUCGCUGGGACGGUAUUGACGCUAAGGCGCGAAAGCGUGGGGAGCAAACAGG